UCAAACGCAAUGAACGGGAGUAGUACAGGGACGUUGGUCUACAGAGAGCUGUGAAUCGGUGUGACACAGUGGCAGCAACCCUCGAAUCUCACCCGGGAGCGGAAGCGGGGAACAGGUGAUAACCUGAAGUACUCACUUACGGGGAAUCCUACGUUAUAGGGAAGUUCUCGUCUUGUCAUAACCGGCCGGUAUGAAUCAGACGAAGGAUGCUAAGCGGAUGCUCAUGUCGUUUAUUCAUUGCGGCGUGAGUGUCAAGUAGAGUGGUACCACGGAGGGUAUAAUCCCGUCGUCUCUUCA
RNAcentral lists this non-coding RNA (297 nucleotides) under Paenibacillus sp. RNAcentral's name for it is "T-box sequence". It matches the Rfam family "T-box leader". Rfam says of the family: Uncharged tRNA acts as the effector for transcription antitermination of genes in the T-box leader family. The record is from RNAcentral. Lineage: Bacteria; Bacillati; Bacillota; Bacilli; Caryophanales; Paenibacillaceae.